This 406-nucleotide ribosomal RNA is filed under the name uncultured bacterium. RNAcentral describes it as "partial 16S ribosomal RNA". It matches the Rfam family "Bacterial small subunit ribosomal RNA", at positions 30 to 526 of the family's 1533-position model. The record is from RNAcentral.
AUUGAACGCUGGCGGCAGGCCUAACACAUGCAAGUCGAGCGAGUGGCGGACGGGUGAGUAAUGUCUGGGCAACUGCCUGAUGGAGGGGGAUAACUACUGGAAACGGUAGCUAAUACCGCAUACCAUCGGAUGUGCCCAGAUGGGAUUAGCUAGUAGGUGGGGUAAAGUCUCACCUAGGCGACGAUCCCUAGCUGGUCUGAGAGGAUGACCAGCCACACUGGAACUGAGACACGGUCCAGACUCCUACGGGAGGCAGCAGUGGGGAAUAUUGCACAAUGGGCGCAAGCCUGAUGCAGCCAUGCCGCGUGUAUGAAGAAGGCCUUAGGGUUGUAAAGUACUUUCAGCGGGGAGGCGUUACCCGCAGAAGAAGCACCGGCUAACUCUGUGCCAGCCGCCGCGGUAAUUC